CCUACGGGAGGCUGCAGUGGGGAAUAUUGGAUAAUGGGCGAAAGCCUGAUCCAGCCAUGCCGCGUGUGUGAAGAAGGCCUUCGGGUUGUAAAGCACUUUCAGUGGGGAAGAAAGCCUUGGGGCUAAUACCCUCGAGGAAGGACAUCACCCACAGAAGAAGCACCGGCUAACUCCGUGCCAGCAGCCGCGGUAAUACGGAGGGUGCGAGCGUUAAUCGGAAUUACUGGGCGUAAAGCGCGCGUAGGCGGUCUGAUAAGCCGGUUGUGAAAGCCCCGGGCUCAACCUGGGAACGGCAUCCGGAACUGUCAGGCUAGAGUGCAGGAGAGGAAGGUAGAAUUCCCGGUGUAGCGGUGAAAUGCGUAGAGAUCGGGAGGAAUACCAGUGGCGAAGGCGGCCUUCUGGACUGACACUGACGCUGAGGUGCGAAAGCGUGGGUAGCAAACAGGAUUAGAUACCCUGGUAGUC
RNAcentral lists this ribosomal RNA (465 nucleotides) under Vreelandella stevensii. RNAcentral's name for it is "partial 16S ribosomal RNA". It matches the Rfam family "Bacterial small subunit ribosomal RNA", at positions 338 to 795 of the family's 1533-position model. Lineage: Bacteria; Pseudomonadati; Pseudomonadota; Gammaproteobacteria; Oceanospirillales; Halomonadaceae. The record is from RNAcentral.